AAUCCUUCAAGCAUAUCCCAUCUCCGAUCUACAAGAAUCAGGGACAGCUCGAUGGUAUCGAGGCCCCGCUGGAACUUUUUCGAGUGGAUCGCUUCCGCUUGGACCUGAUCUCGUCUGCUUAUCCUUUACAUGGUCAUCAUGGAUCAGGACUCGCCGAGCACGGUGCCACAUAGCGCUCGAGACCUCUGGCCGAAGAUAACACAGGCGGUCAUGUCGGAUGGGAUGAGCCAGAGAGCCUUGCUCAUCCAGGAUCCGGGCUACCUGAGCGAAGUCUUUGAGCUCUCGCCGCGAUGGCGGUGCCUAUGAGCCACCUGGUCGAAAACUUACAAGGAAUGUGUCAG
RNAcentral lists this unclassified non-coding RNA (341 nucleotides) under Galendromus occidentalis (western predatory mite). Its description in RNAcentral is "uncharacterized LOC100899996, transcript variant X3". Lineage: Eukaryota; Metazoa; Arthropoda; Arachnida; Mesostigmata; Phytoseiidae. The record is from RNAcentral.